This 402-nucleotide ribosomal RNA is filed under the name bacterium. RNAcentral describes it as "partial 16S ribosomal RNA". It matches the Rfam family "Bacterial small subunit ribosomal RNA", at positions 355 to 776 of the family's 1533-position model. The record is from RNAcentral.
UGGGGAAUUUUGCACAAUGGGGGAAACCCUGAUGCAGCGACGCCGCGUGAUUUAGAAGGCCUUCGGGUUGUAAAAAUCUUUUUUACGGGAUGAAAAUGACAGUACCGUAAGAAUAAGGUCCGGCUAAAUACGUGCCAGCAGCCGCGGUAAUACGUAUGGACCGAGCGUUGUCCGGAAUCAUUGGGCGUAAAGGGUACGUAGGCGGCCUAGUAAGUUAGAAGUGAAAUAAUAUAGCUCAACUAUAUAAAGCUUUUAAAACUGCUAGGCUUGAGAGAUGGAAGGGAAAGUGGAAUUCCUAGUGUAGCGGUGAAAUGUGCAGAUAUUAGGAAGAAUACCGGUGGCGAAGGCGACUUUCUGGUCAUCAUCUGACGCUGAGGUACGAAAGCGUGGGUAGCAAACAGG